Molecule: ribosomal RNA, 415 nt
Filed under: Salmonella enterica
Lineage: Bacteria; Pseudomonadati; Pseudomonadota; Gammaproteobacteria; Enterobacterales; Enterobacteriaceae
Also listed under: 1 other name
Description: bacterial SSU rRNA
Rfam family: Bacterial small subunit ribosomal RNA
Source: RNAcentral
AAAUUGAAGAGUUUGAUCAUGGCUCAGAUUGAACGCUGGCGGCAGGCCUAACACAUGCAAGUCGAACGGUAACAGGAAGCAGCUUGCUGCUUUGCUGACGAGUGGCGGACGGGUGAGUAAUGUCUGGGAAACUGCCUGAUGGAGGGGGAUAACUACUGGAAACGGUGGCUAAUACCGCAUAACGUCGCAAGACCAAAGAGGGGGACCUUCGGGCCUCUUGCCAUCAGAUGUGCCCAGAUGGGAUUAGCUAGUUGGUGAGGUAACGGCUCACCAAGGCGACGAUCCCUAGCUGGUCUGAGAGGAUGGCCAGCCACACUGGAACUGAGACACGGUCCAGACUCCUACGGGAGGCAGCAGUGGGGAAUAUUGCACAAUGGGCGCAAGCCUGAUGCAGCCAUGCCGCGUGUAUGAAGAA